GGCGCUUGGGGUUCGCGAGGUGCGGAACGGAGGUGGGAGCCAGCAAUCUCGGCGGUGGUAUCAUCUCCAUUUUACAAACAAGGGACCUGAAGCUCAGAUAGAAAAUGGUACAUGAGAUAAAUUAUCUUCAAGCAGUCACAUAGCCCCCACACCAAACUAAAGGAAACAAGCAAACCAGGAUUCUUGUAGUAAGAAGAAAGGAAAACUAAUAGCAUCUGCAAUGGACAGUUUUAUUUAUUUUGUCUUAUUUGGGUCCAGUAAUAUCUAGAUAGCAGUGAAACUAUUGAUUCUAUUUAGCACUGACAGAGACAAGAAGUGUUUUUCAGCAUAGAUACCUGUAUCUUCUAUGUAGCCCAGUGCCUUGUAUACAGAAGUUGAUUAAUAAAUGUACAAA
Molecule: long non-coding RNA, 394 nt
Organism: Eptesicus fuscus (big brown bat)
Lineage: Eukaryota; Metazoa; Chordata; Mammalia; Chiroptera; Vespertilionidae
Exons: 3
Source: RefSeq, a predicted model, not a curated record